Molecule: long non-coding RNA, 8492 nt
Filed under: Gossypium barbadense (sea-island cotton)
Lineage: Eukaryota; Viridiplantae; Streptophyta; Magnoliopsida; Malvales; Malvaceae
Description: long non-coding RNA (GBAR_LNC018953)
Source: RNAcentral
AAAGAAUAUGAUACAAUGGAUGAUUACAAAUGAGGGAGAGAAUCUCUAUUUAUAGUUGAACUCCUCUAAAACCGACAGUAUAGAUCAAAUUAUAUCGACAGACGAGAUCAAAGCCUACCUACAAUUAAGGGAUUUAACCAAUCUCCAAGAUUACAAAAAUCAAAUCUUAUCAGAUUAUAAAUCUUUUAAGAUUACUUUCCCAAUUUACCAAGGUAGCCCUAUUUCCCAUAAUUGCUUCGCUGGGCGACCAAGGCUUUAAGUUGAUGGGCUUUGUUACUUAUUCUUCGAAUCGGGCUAAUUCAAGUAGGUCAAAUGAGCCCCAUUUAAUAUGUAGACCUCUGUGGGACACUUUUAUUGCAAUAGUGAUGGACUUUGAAUCGCGACCCGUGACAUUCUCUCUUACACAUUCUUCCAGCGCCCUCAUCACGUCUUCGGAAUGGCACUAAUUUGAUUCACCUUGGAAUUUUCUCGACACAUUAGCCCUUCCCCGACUAGCCUUACUAUCAGGUGGUCUUGCCCCUUAGAACCUUUGCCUUGGCUUCUAUCGUUGCCUAACUCGAACCAUUUCACUCAUUGGUACAUCUCGUUCGCAAGAGCCCACCACUCUUACUCACCCACAUUGUGACUUGCCUUAAUCGGGAUACCUUUGAUUUGCAACACUAGGCUUCGACAUUGAUCGCCACCAAACGUGUGAACCUUUGGACUGGAAAUACUGUUGCAAAAAUAUAUAUAAUCAAACAGCGGUGUCCACAAGUAUACAGGUCAAGUUAUAAUAUAAUUUUGUACAACGAGGUAUAGGAAGUACACUGAUGAUCGUGCCUAAAGAAGGAUGGAUUAACUCUAUAAUUAUCUUCUACAAUAAUAGGUCUAAACAGUACUCACCAAAAAUCAUAUUAUGAUAAAUAAUAAUUGUCACAUCCUAAAAUUAGGUCUAGAAGAAAUAGAGAUAAAAUUUAGAUUUCUAAUGCAUAAAAAGAAUAGGGUAAGUGAACUUAAAAUGCCUUAAAAAUUAUUUUUGAUAAGGAAUUAACAAGAAUAGACCAUUAGGCUUGAUGGUUAGGUGCUAGCCAAAGCUAAGGUCCUAGGUUCAAACUCCCUUGAUUACACUUUUUGCUCUUUUUUUUUUAAUUUACCCUUAAACUUGGCCAAAACUCUUUAAAAACAAAAUUUUAAAGGCUUAUAACAAGAAUGAACAUGUUGGUUCAAUGGUUAAGACUUACCAUUCCCUUAGGUCCUAAGUUUGAAACUCGUUGUGCACUUUUUAGCUAAAAUAUUUUACUUCCUUGUUUUUACCCUAUUAAAUACUGAAUUUUCAAACAAACCCAGACCAAAAAAUACUUUUUAAUUUAAUCUUUAAUUUAAAUCAAUCCUAAUUCUAAAUGAAUUCAUAAACCUAUUUCAAUUAGGGAAAGAAAUUUUUAUAAAUAGUCAAUCUUUUCAAAACCUAGAACUCAUAUUUAGAAAAAAUUUCAAGAAAAAAAGGUUUCAGAAUUCUUUAUUCUUCUUCUUCAUUGCCAAAACCUUCAUUGUAAUUAAGGUUCUUAAGAGAUUUCAAGGUUUUCAAUUGCAAUUCUCUCCUCCCAAUGAUUUUUGAUUUCUUCAUCCAAAAUUAAGGGGUUUUUUUGUGUCUUUAAUCAAGUGUGGGAUCUAAUUUAAGUCAUUAUGUAUGAUUAAUUAAGUUGAAGCAUUAGGAAUUAGGGAUUAAUGUAGAAAGUAAGAAACAUGCGAACCCCAUGUUAUAUAGUAUGACUUAAUAUGCGAACUCUCAUGUUAUAUAGUAUGACAUAGUAUGCAAACCCCAAUGUUAUAUAGUAUGACAGUAUACAAACCCUCAAGUUAUAUAGUAUGACAUAGUAUGCGAACCCUCACAUUAUAUAGCAUGACAUAGUAUGUGAACCCCCAUGUUAUAUAGAAUGACAUAGUAUACGAACCUUCAUGUUAUAUAGUAUGACAAAGUAUGUGAACCCCUAUGUUAUAUAGUAUGACAUAGUAUGCGAACAUCCACGUUAUUUAGUAUGACAUAGUAUGCGAACCUGAUUUGCCAUAAUUCAGUGUAGCAGAUUAAACUAGUUUUCACAUUUAAGGAGCUUGAAUACAAGAAUUUUUGUUAUGUUUUAAUUCAGUUUCUUUAGUUUUGUUUACAUUCAAUUAAAUGUGCACAUUGAAUCUUUUAUUAACCUUAAGGUCCGAAUGAGGCCUAAGGGAGAGCUAUCGUAUUUGUGAGUGUACAAAAGACCAUUAGAGGGCAUUUUGAGUCAAUAUUGGAUGCUAUGCCGCAACAUGGGGGAUUUGAUAUCGCAACAUAGAGAGCAAAAUAGAGAAAGUGAGAAACUGCCUUCAAUGUCGCAACACAGGCUGAGGAUGUCGCGACAUACCCCUGAAGAUGGCUACAGAGGAACAUGAUGGUUGCUACGUUGCGACACAAGUCUUAGUGUGUCGUGAUAUUGACUUUGUGGCGAGAAUAAAACACGAAGUAGAGGCGUUUUGGUCUACACAAUCGAGUUUAAGCUCAGGAACGCCAAUUUUACCCUAGGGCUAAGGACGACGGCUACCUGAAGGCUAUAAAUAGACCUCUCUGGCACACAUUAUAGACAUCACUCCAUUAUCUUAGAUUUUCUUUUUAGGUUUAAGAAUUUUUUUUCUUUUUUUAUUUUUUUCUUAAGUUUUCAUAGUUUUAGUUAUUUGCUUUCUUCAAGAGAUCUGAUUGUAAAGGAGAUCAAUUUCUUUAGAUUCGUGCUUAUUAUCAAUAUCAAUUAGGCUUUUCUUAAACUCUCUAUUUCAAUCCAUUCCCUAUGAUUAAUUCUUCCAUUUAUUCCAUGAUGUUUAUGAAAGUUAUGAGAAACUAAUCAUUCUAUGGGGGAAUAGUGAGUGGAAGCAUGAUCUUUUAACUGUUUUGUAGGGUUAUUCAACGGACCAAUUGUUUGGGAAAGGAAUAACGUGAAAAAAACCCUAGGUUUGAUAACCCCAGGUUUGAUAACCCCAGGAAGUUAUCAAGGUGAGAAUUAACCCAAAAUUGGUAUUGCCCAUCCGUGAACGUCUUGACCCCAAACCAGUCUGGACUGUGAGGUUGAAAGAUAAGUAGUUUUUGCUAACUCAUUAUGUUAGUGGAAGAUCGAAAGAUCCUGCUAGGGCAGCGACUAGUUGAUUGAUGAAGAACCUGAAACGACAGUUGAUUGAGAUUUUUGAAGCAAGCUAAUCACCCAUCUUCAGAUUUGAUUCACUUUAUUUCUCUCUAUCUCUUGCAAUUUUAUUUUUUAUGUUAUUUUAUUUCAUUAGUUUAAAAAACCCUAAAAUUAUCUCUUAUUUUGCUUUCGUACUACUGACUUAAAUUAUUAAUUAUAUUUUUAAUUGUUUAGGUUAAGAUUGAUUUAGUACUCACCUCUAUUGGGUACGAUCCUCAGAGUACUUACCUACUUCGUUGAAAAAUCUAUAUUACAACUCAACUCGUAUACUUGCAGAUACCACCUCGUAAUUCUUCAUUCUAUUGCAGUAUUCACACUCUGGAAGUUAGUACAUCCAGAGACGAUCAGAACCCCAUGUUAUAUAAAAUAACAUUUUAUGCGAACCAUCAUGUUAUAUAGUAUGACAUAGUAUGCAAAUCCUCAUAUUAUAUAGUAUGUGAUUUAAUAUGUGUGAACCUUAUAUGUGCAAACCCUAUAUGUGCAAACCUUGUAUGUGCGAACCCUAUAUGUGAACUUGUUAUGUAUGUGUUAGCCGAACAAGCAUGAUAAACAAUGUAAUAUUAAUAUAUCGAUACAAGUUUUUAGUUUACAUGAAGAAAUUGAAUAUGUGAAAUUGAUAUGAAUGAAUGCAUGAAUCCAUACCAAUAAACAAUAGUAUGAAAUAAUAAAUGUGCUUGACAAGCAUAGCAUCGAUUGUUGAUAAAUAGCAUGAUAUGUUCAGUUUAUGUGCAUGAUUACAUGAAAUUAUGUAUGGAGGACGGAGAAGUUCCUAGGAGAAAGUGAUAAUUUAAGUCCACAUCGAAAGUCAGUAUUGCAUGAAGUAAGCGACAAUGUCAUCGAAAUCAAGUAAACCAGGAUGAUAGUUUAAAAUGCCAUCAAAACCAGACAAUCGAGAUGGUAAGUUAUUGUAGUAAAAGUCAUCAUCACAGAUGACAAGUGAACGACCAUCGUCAUCGGGAAAUUCGGGAUGGUUAGUUAUUAAAAUGUGUUUUGGAGUGUUGAGCGAUGCUCAAGGGCGGAUAGGAUGGAUGGGUGAGAACUGAAAAUUAAAAUUUGCAUUUGCAUUACGCCAUGAAAAUAAUCUGUACAUGCAUUGAUUUUUGAAUGUCCCUUACAUUAUGCUUAAUUUGCUAUGAUGCUAUAAAUUGAAUGCUUUACUGUUUGAUCAAUCACAUAUAAUGGUUUAUAAAUUAGACUCACACUGAUUUUUCCUAAGCUCACCCCCACUUUCCUUACCUUUCAGGUAACGCAAAAAACUAGGACUCGGACCCAUUUUCUUUCAUUAUUAUUUUAAAAGUUUCUAUUAAAAAUUUCCUUAAUCAUUUUAUUAGGUUAUUUAAUAGAUUGUAAUUAUUAAUUAUUUCUUACUUUUAUAAUUGUGGUUUAGGAUUUUUUAGCUUAAUACCUUUUAAGCAUGACAUAUAGUUAAUACUCUGAUAAAUUGCAUGUUAUUUGGUUUAGAAAACCAUUAUUCUUAAUAAUGUUUUCCACUGCUUUGCAAAAUACUUAAAGUUUUGAUUGGUCUUUUUAAAAUUUAACCAUUUUUCAAUAAUUCACAUUAAUAAUAUUGUAAUUGGAUUACUAAGUAAAGCCGAUUUUAUUAAUGAAUGUUUGUCUUAAAAACUAAAUAGUGAUUUUCAUGCAAAUCAACUCAAACAAGUGAAUGACUUUAUUGGAUCACUUCGAUGAUCAAUGUAAUGCCCUUGACUUAAGCAAAACUCCUAGGUCAGAUUAGGGUGUUACAAUAAUAAAGAAAAUUAAUAUUAUGAAAUAAAAUAUAAUUACUAGAGUGAAAUUAAUCAACAAAGAAAUCUCGAUUAACAGGCAAAAUAUUAACUCGAUUCAAUGGUUGUAAAUAACUUCAGAAGUCGGGUUUUAGUGAACUAGCUAAUAACUAACCAGUUAAUACCUCUCAGCCUCUAAUUGAUUAAUUAAUCCAUUAAUAUUCACUAUCUCUCGACCUCGUUUUCUAAAUCGGGAUAAAUUACAAUUUAAUCGGCAUACAUAAUUUAAACCAACUAAUUCUAAGGGGAGCCCUCGUUCUUCCAUUAAUUACUCUCACAUCCACUCAUUAACAUUCCUAAAGGAUUUAGCUACUCAUGAAUCUCGAGACCAUUCUCCUAAGAAUUAAUUUAAUUAUGCAAAAACACAAAUUAAACUAAAAUAAAAGGAAAAUCGAUAUUGAUCCGUUUGAUAAACUGGAUGCGCUCGGUUCUGCAAAUUCCUUUAACAACUAUGGAGAUAUUAAUGUUGACAAGCAAAAAGUGAAAGAAAAAAAAUCAAAACACUUAAUAACCAAGUCUUGGACUCAAAUCGAAUCCAAGUUCGAACAAGAAAUAAAAAAAAAUUAUUUUUAAAAAUAAAUUAAAAACUAAGUCUAAAACUAAAACCUAAAUUCUACCCUAGUUGCAAGCUUUAAUUAGGCUAACUAUGUAUUGUGCGGACGAUGACACCUUUGUCAGACCUGUUUCAUGAAAUAGGCUUGUGCAUAUCGUGACACAAACUUCGAGUUUUAAAUCUGAACCUUGUUUGGCUAUGUUGCAACCCUGGAAGCUCGUGUUGUGACUUGGUUGUCAUUCUUGAUGCUUUUGGGCCAAAAAAAGGUGUCAAACACGCUCAAUUUGUAAUCUCCCCAACCAAGCCUAGACGUUAUGGUCGAAUUGUGAAGAUCACAUUAGCCACUUGUAUGGCUAAACUACCCUACCAUUCUUUGAAAACCUUUAGCUCCUCACUCUUUUAAGAAAAACCACGGUAUACCUUUGUUAUUCUAGAAAACAUUUCAUGAAUUAAAUCAACCAUCCUUAUGUUAUGUUAUUAGCGUUUGCGUAGUUUAGAAAACACAUUGCUCGUUGCUUCACUCAACAAAAGCUCAUUAUUUUUAAUUGCAGCAAAAAACUCAAUUUUUACCCCUUUUUAACAUUAAGCCUAGUAUCAUUCAUUGUCCAAUUUCAAAAUGUACUUUAAAACCAAAUUAACAUGUCGAAUAUGAAUGCAUGAAAACCACAAAACAAAGUAAAAUCCAAACCACGGACCAAAUAACUUUAUAGUCACAAAGUAAAUUAUAUUUUAAAUAAAACUCAAAUGAAAUAAAUAAUAAUUAGUCCGAAGUCCGUCGUAUGUCCGUGUGUCGUGUCUGAUCCUACUAUUAAGCAUUUCCUGAGAUGCUUCAAACUAUGGGGUGAGCUAACUAGCUUAUUGUGAGUCUAAACUGUAGGAACAUUCAAUUAUCCAUACAAACACCAAUCAAUAAUUUAAUGCAACGUAUCACAUAGCAUAAAACAUUAUCUUUCGAGUGUCAUGGACAUAAUGCAAUGUAUAAAGAAUCCUACCCAACCAUCCUCUAGACACUAUGAGUUCCCCAGAACUCGUCUACCAAACUCCAAACAUUACGAGCUGGGCUUGAUGUGGUUAAACCACCAUUAUACGUAAUGUAGUUAUACUACCAUUUAAAAUAUGAUAUAAUCACCAUUCUCCUCAUUACUCCCGGUGCAGUGCACUGACAACAUAAAUGCGAACUUAAUAUGCCACAAUUACUCCACGGAACUCCUUCGUCAUCCACAAUAACCCACCCCAUGCAUAUGCAAUAUGUCAUACAAAUUACGACCAAGAACACGUUCCCAUUACAUUCACAUUUCAGUAGCAUGUUUUACAUGCCCUCAUAAUAUUAGUCACUUUCAUUUUGUAGUAAUACUUGUAAAGAAUUCAAUUUCACCGUCAAUACAAUGAAGUUCCAACAGGCCAUACUUUCAUUAUCAUUUUAUAAGCAAUUUUUCCAGUGCAUAAGUAGCAAACUUUCAUUCAGUACAUUUAAUAGCAUUUCACUCAUGCAUACAUUUCAUGCAGUCAAUCUUUAUUUUCAUUUUAAUACAUGCUAUACAUACAUCCAACACACAUUAUAUAUUCAAACCAUUCAUGUUAUUUCAUAGCAAUACAAGUCAUACAAAUAAUCAGUCAACCAUGCAACUUUGCAAGCAUGCCAUUAGUUAAGGAACAAAACGUACCUGAUUCGGCCACCUUAAAAUCACUUACAUAGCCAUUUAACUAAGCCCACCUAGCAAGCUUAAAAAUCAAUUUAAUCACUAAAAAUAUUAUUUAGACUUUCAAGUUUAUAGGUUAGAAUCCACAGCUUAAUUUCGCAUAAUCAUAGCAUUAUUGGCGAAACCCAUGAUUCCUCAUUUAGACUUAAAUUGAACCUAAAUUGAAAUACAAUAUUUAUCGAGUUAAGAUGCUAAUAAAUUAUCCUUAAAACACCCUCUAAGGGUUCAACAAAAUUAGUGUUACAGCAACUAACUUUCAGAUCCAAUUGGACUAGACUACUUACACUGAUUUGAUGCGAAACGUGCGCGCGAACGACAAACGGCUUCACUGUUGGUCCAGGGCAUUUAAAUAAGUGCAUAAAAAAUUAAAAUACCAAUAAUCAGUAGAUAACAAUCCAUUUAAAACCUUAAUUUAAUCAUCUAACUCAUUCCCUAAUUUCCAAGUCAAAUCUACGUAUUAGCCCACAAACAAUUGCACUUACGCUUCCCAUUUCGUCAGAUCUAAGUUGUCAAACGAUUAAGGUUGAAUUUCCUUAAAUCAUAAAUGAUUAAAGGCUGAUUAGGAAGUGGUUUAGUAGAUCUAAAUCUUACUGGAAAAAAGUGGUAAAAGUAUUAAAAAUAAGCAGCCCCCCUUUGGUGGUUCUAGGAGCGGCACACCACCACCAACAAUGGCAAUUUGGUGAUGUUUUGGGAGCUUAAUAAAAACGAGUCUAAAAGCUGAAAAUUUACCAUUUAAAUCAAUAAAAACCAUAAAAAUCCAAAUCUGAAACAAGAGAUAUUUAAUAGGAAAGAAUUUAAUAAUAAAACAGAAGAAAAAGGUCACUUACUCGAAGGAUAGUAAAGAAGCGGCAAUGGUGAUCUUUUUGGAGACUUUGGAGGCUUACUUUCAAAUGAUAAAAAUGGUAGAUUUGAGGAUGGAGAUUUUAAGGAAAAAAACAUAAAAUGUGAGGAGGAAAAUUGUGUAAAAAUCCUCUAUCAAAAAAGGAAAGAUGGGCGAAAGAGAGGAACUUUGGGCGGUAACACAAUGAGGGAGAAGGGGAAAAAUGAAGAGCGAGAGAAGAGAUGAAGAGAAAGGGUGGCUAGGGUUGUAAAAGAAUGACUAAAGACUAAAAAAUAAUUGAAAAAUUGAUAUUUAUUCUUGGAUUAAUAGGCAUGAGUGGCACAAAAAUAGGGAGAAAGGGAAAAAAAAUCAAAAUUAAGCUAUUUUACAAGGGAAGGGAAUCAAACUCAAAACCUUGAUCUAUUUGCACUGCCUCCUCAUUUUUCAUUUAAC